CCUACGGGCGGCUGCAGUGGGGAAUAUUGGACAAUGGGGGGAACCCUGAUCCAGCCAUGCCGCGUGUGUGAAGAAGGCCCUCGGGUUGUAAAGCACUUUCAGUGAGGAAGAACGCCUGGUGGUUAAUACCCAUCAGGAAAGACAUCACUCACAGAAGAAGCACCGGCUAACUCCGUGCCAGCAGCCGCGGUAAUACGGAGGGUGCGAGCGUUAAUCGGAAUUACUGGGCGUAAAGCGCGCGUAGGUGGCUUGAUAAGCCGGUUGUGAAAGCCCCGGGCUCAACCUGGGAACGGCAUCCGGAACUGUCAAGCUAGAGUGCAGGAGAGGAAGGUAGAAUUCCCGGUGUAGCGGUGAAAUGCGUAGAGAUCGGGAGGAAUACCAGUGGCGAAGGCGGCCUUCUAGACUGACACUGACACUGAGGUGCGAAAGCGUGGGUAGCAAACAGGAUUAGAUACCCUUGUAGUC
RNAcentral lists this ribosomal RNA (465 nucleotides) under Vreelandella stevensii. RNAcentral's name for it is "partial 16S ribosomal RNA". It matches the Rfam family "Bacterial small subunit ribosomal RNA", at positions 338 to 795 of the family's 1533-position model. Lineage: Bacteria; Pseudomonadati; Pseudomonadota; Gammaproteobacteria; Oceanospirillales; Halomonadaceae. The record is from RNAcentral.